GACGAACGCUGGCGGCGUGCUUAACACAUGCAAGUCGAACGGAAAGGCCCUGCUUGCAGGGUACUCGAGUGGCGAACGGGUGAGUAACACGUGGGUGAUCUGCCCUGCACUUCGGGAUAAGCCUGGGAAACUGGGUCUAAUACCGGAUAGGAGCCAUUUUUAGUGUGAUGGUUGGAAAGUUUUUUCGGUGUAGGAUGAGCUCGCGGCCUAUCAGCUUGUUGGUGGGGUAAUGGCCUACCAAGGCGGCGACGGGUAGCCGGCCUGAGAGGGUGGACGGCCACAUUGGGACUGAGAUACGGCCCAGACUCCUACGGGAGGCAGCAGUGGGGAAUAUUGCACAAUGGGCGCAAGCCUGAUGCAGCGACGCCGCGUGGGGGAUGACGGCCUUCGGGUUGUAAACUCCUUUCGCUAGGGACGAAGCUUUUUGUGACGGUACCUAGAUAAGAAGCACCGGCUAACUACGUA
This 465-nucleotide ribosomal RNA is filed under the name uncultured bacterium. RNAcentral describes it as "partial 16S ribosomal RNA". It matches the Rfam family "Bacterial small subunit ribosomal RNA", at positions 28 to 507 of the family's 1533-position model. The record is from RNAcentral.